CUUGACAGAGAUCCUCGAUAGGCUACACCAGCUGUCUCUCUCCUGAUAUUGGCUUUGAUCCAUGUACACCCCUCUGAAAAGGUACCUUGGCGAGGAAAGGGAACAACUGCAAAUGCAAUCACCAAGAGAGACAGGAAGUGAUAUCAUCCUUAAGCAAGAUGGCUGCCAGCUCUACGAAGACAACAAUUGUGACAGAAUCACCCACCACCAAAGGACCAAGCAGCAGAGGAAGGAGCAGACGGAGUUCGAGUUGGACUGGCGGGAGAAGUGGACUUGGGAGGAAGUUCUGGACGGGGCCGGACCCUGGCAUCAGGCUGGGGAUUAUCGACGCCCGCAGUGGG
Molecule: long non-coding RNA, 341 nt
Filed under: Salmo salar (Atlantic salmon)
Lineage: Eukaryota; Metazoa; Chordata; Actinopteri; Salmoniformes; Salmonidae
Description: lncRNA (ENSSSAG00000084064.1, ENSSSAG00075018362.1)
Source: RNAcentral